Molecule: ribosomal RNA, 126 nt
Organism: Erinaceus europaeus (western European hedgehog)
Lineage: Eukaryota; Metazoa; Chordata; Mammalia; Eulipotyphla; Erinaceidae
Source: Ensembl
GUCUAUGGCCAUACCACUCUGAUCACUCCCAAUCUCAUAUGAUCUCAGAAGCUAAGCAGGGUGAAGCCUGUUAGUACUUGGGUGGGAGAAAUAAUUCACAUUAAUAUCAAUCAAUGGCUGUAGAAU